RNAcentral lists this ribosomal RNA (234 nucleotides) under Triticum aestivum (bread wheat). Its description in RNAcentral is "partial small subunit ribosomal RNA". The record is from RNAcentral. Lineage: Eukaryota; Viridiplantae; Streptophyta; Magnoliopsida; Poales; Poaceae.
AUGUGGUAUCUUCGGAGAGGUGUCGUGCUAACUAAAGACAACCUUGCUCGGCGCAACUGGCAAGGUAGGAAGUAGUGUAGUUUUUGUGCCCACGAUGGUGCAAUCAAACACCUCUUCUUCCAAUGCAACUUUGUGUGUUCUACUUGGCCAGUCAUUCAAAUUGCAUCAAAUUUGUACCCGCUCACAAGUGUUUGCCAAUAUAUAUGGUCAUUGGCUGGACGGAAUACCAAAUAG